AUGGAUGCAACAUUUGAUGUGGACACGGGCUCAGGGAGCACGGGUGCUAUUAUACGUGAUAGAACUCGUAGCUGGAGCAUCCUUAGAAUCGAUACACCGUCAACCGCUGAAGCGUGUGCACUUCGUGAUGGCCUGAUUAUUGCAGGAAACGUCGGAUGCAAUAAGAUCCUGGUCGAAUGUGAUUGCAUGGAAGUGGUGGAAGUCAUGUAG
This 210-nucleotide ribosomal RNA is filed under the name Triticum aestivum (bread wheat). Its description in RNAcentral is "partial small subunit ribosomal RNA". Lineage: Eukaryota; Viridiplantae; Streptophyta; Magnoliopsida; Poales; Poaceae. The record is from RNAcentral.